Molecule: unclassified non-coding RNA, 405 nt
Filed under: soil metagenome
Description: partial contains 5.8S ribosomal RNA, internal transcribed spacer 2, and large subunit ribosomal RNA
Rfam family: 5.8S ribosomal RNA (bases 2-122)
Source: RNAcentral
GGAUGAAGAACGUAGCGAAAUGCGAUAAGUAAUGUGAAUUGCAGAAUUCAGUGAAUCAUCGAAUCUUUGAACGCACCUUGCGCCCUUUGGCUAUUCCGAAGGGCAUGCCUGUUUGAGUAUCAUGAACACCUCAACUCUCAUGGUUUGCCAUGAUGAGCUUGGACUUUGGGGGUCUUGCCGGCCUAUGGGUCGGCUCCUCUCAAAUUAAUCAGCUUGCCAGUGUUUGGUGGCAUCACAGGUGUGAUAACUAUCUACGCUUGUGGUUUUCCAUCAGGUAACCUUCAGUGAUGGAGGUUCGCUGGGGCUCAUAAAUGUCUCUCCUCAGUGAGGACAGCUUUUUUGAACGUUUGAUCUCAAAUCAGGUAGGACUACCCGCUGAACUUAAGCAUAUCAAUAAGCGGAGGA